UACGGAGGGAGCUAGCGUUAUUCGGAAUUACUGGGCGUAAAGCGCACGUAGGCGGCUUUGUAAGUAAGAGGUGAAAGCCCAGAGCUCAACUCUGGAAUUGCCUUUUAGACUGCAUCGCUUGAAUCAUGGAGAGGUCAGUGGAAUUCCGAGUGUAGAGGUGAAAUUCGUAGAUAUUCGGAGGAACACCAGAAGCGAAGGCGGCUCACUGGCCCGAUACUGACGCUGAGGCGCGAAAGCGUGGGGAGCAAACAGG
This 253-nucleotide ribosomal RNA is filed under the name uncultured bacterium. RNAcentral's name for it is "partial 16S ribosomal RNA". It matches the Rfam family "Bacterial small subunit ribosomal RNA", at positions 524 to 776 of the family's 1533-position model. The record is from RNAcentral.